Molecule: ribosomal RNA, 1022 nt
Filed under: uncultured bacterium
Lineage: Bacteria
Description: bacterial SSU rRNA
Rfam family: Bacterial small subunit ribosomal RNA
Source: RNAcentral
AGAGUUUGAUCCUGGCUCAGAGCGAACGCUGGCGGCGUGCUUAACACAUGCAAGUCGAACGCGCAGCAUUCUGUAGCAAUACAGGGUGUGGGCGCGUGGCGAACGGGUGCGUAACACGUGGAUAACCUUCCUUCAGGUGGGGAAUAACCCAGUGAAAAUUGGGCUAAUACCGCAUAACAUGACGAUGAGACAUCUUGUUGUCAUCAAAGGCGCAAGUCGCCGGAAGAGGGAUCCGCGGCCGAUUAGCUUGUUGGCGAGGUAAUGGCUCACCAAGGCAAUGAUCGGUAGCCGGACUGAGAGGUUGGCCGGCCACACUGGAACUGAGACACGGUCCAGACUCCUACGGGAGGCAGCAGUGGGGAAUCUUGCGCAAUGGGCGAAAGCCUGACGCAGCAACGCCGCGUGGGGGAUGAAGCUUCUCGGAGUGUAAACCCCUUUCGACCCGGACGAAUGCCCGCAAGGGCUUGACGGUACGGGUAUAAGAAGCCCCGGCUAACUACGUGCCAGCAGCCGCGGUAAAACGUAGGGGGCCAGCGUUGCUCGGAAUUACUGGGCGUAAAGGGUCCGUAGGCGGUGUGGCAAGUCGGUAGUGAAAUCUCUGGGCUUAACUCAGAGGCUGCUGCCGAAACUGCUGUGCUAGAGUGUGAGAGAGGCGAGUGGAAUUACGGGUGUAGCGGUGAAAUGCGUAGAUAUCCGUAGGAACAUCCGAGGCGAAAGCGGCUCGCUGGAUCACAACUGACGCUGAGGGACGAAAGCUAGGGGAGCAAACAGGAUUAGAUACCCUGGUAGUCCUAGCCCUAAACCAUCAGGACUUGGGGUUUGCCCUGUACGGGGCGAGUCCCGGAGCUAACGCGUUAAGUCCUGCGCCUGGGGAGUACGGUCGCAAGGCUGAAACUCAAAGGAAUUGACGGGGGCCCGCACAAGCGGUGGAACAUGUGGUUCAAUUCGACGCAACGCGAAGAACCUUACCUGGGCUUGAACCGCACAGGACCAUUCCUAGAAAUAGGGACUUCCCGCAAGGG